GUGAGCACAGCGUGUUGUGCUCAUUUCUUCAUUUCUUCAUGAUCCCCUCAGAAAUGAAGGGCAGCCUGACAGUGGCAUGGUGGUUAGGCUUGAUCUUCCUGGAGCACUCUUCGGAAGGUACACAGCCCGCCUGCAGAGUUGCAGUGUUCUGGGCCACUAGAAGGUGGAAGAGGUGGACCUUCCAUUCGGGCCUCAUGGAAUUACAGGGCUUGCGUUCCUCCAGCUUGACAUGCCUCCAAGUCCUUCCUUAAAUUGCUCCCUCUGUUCAAAAUGCAAAACAGUGCUUGCAUCGCUCCAAAUCUGGAAAGCCUCCAAGACUUCCUCAAACUGUUCUUUUCCCAGUCUUGUUCACCUGGCCUAUUUAGCACGGAUUUUUUGAACCACUACUGGCUUAGAGCUGCCAGUUCUCCACAAAAUGCUGGCUGAAUAAAUGAGAUGUCUC
This 442-nucleotide long non-coding RNA is filed under the name Mustela putorius furo (domestic ferret). RNAcentral's name for it is "lncRNA (ENSMPUG00000027567.1)". Lineage: Eukaryota; Metazoa; Chordata; Mammalia; Carnivora; Mustelidae. The record is from RNAcentral.